AUGGCCUUGAGGGUCUCUUCUAGCUCAGACCAUCCUAUGGUUGGCUGUGUCUCAAGAUACAGGCCACAUUUGUUGGCUUUCUGUUCUAUGAUGGCUGUUUUGUGUGAAUUUCUGUUUCAGGUGUGCAAAAAUGGCUUCACUGAGUCUGAUGCAAAACAGUUUUUAAGUUUUGUGAAUUUAGGCAGGAGUUCAGCAGACUUCAGCUAUUCUGCACUGUAUGCUGAGCUGAAAAGAGGACAGAUUAGAGUAGCUCACAUAGUCUUUUGUUCAUCCGAUGUCUUCCUUGUUGCCAGACAUUCCCUUUUUCUUGAGAGGUCUUUAUCUCAUAUUUUGCCUGUUUGCUGUUGUUGGUUGGCAAUGUCUUGUGGAACACACUCAGCACUCACACAGCUGCAUUGGUCCACAUAGGUGUAUGAGUGAUCAAGAUGAGUUCUGUACAGUUGGAUAAUUUGAAUCUCUGGCCAGGCUGCAAAAUGAAGAAAAAUUGCUGUCACAGUAAGUUGCAAACAGGUAUGAAUUUUACUAAUAUUGUUAUGAGAUGUAAGCCUCUAUACUAGCUUUGACUUUUCUGUUCAGUGAAGAGUCAAAAAGCACAAGAAAACUUGCUUUUUUAUUUCAUUGAGAAGGUUUGUUACCUGUACAAUGCCAUGCAUUAAAAAGCAUGUUUAACUAGCUGCGAAAUCAUAACAAAAAGAUUAUUGUACUUUUCUUUCUUAGUUUACAAAAAAAA
This 730-nucleotide long non-coding RNA is filed under the name Phasianus colchicus (ring-necked pheasant). RNAcentral describes it as "lncRNA (ENSPCLG00000021495.1)". Lineage: Eukaryota; Metazoa; Chordata; Aves; Galliformes; Phasianidae. The record is from RNAcentral.